CAAGAACCACUACUUAUCCUCCCUCACCUUCUAUUUCCACAAGAAAUCCUAAGAAAAUUACUCCUUCUCCUCCUUCGGUUGAUAAAUCAUUGGCACAAGAGCCAAAGCAAUGGAACUUUUUACAGAGAGCUGCAGCUUUGGCCUUAGAUGUUGUGGAGACUGCUUUAGUUUUACAUGAACGUCGAUACCCUCUUCCCAAAACUGCUAACCCAACGGUCCAAAUCUCCGGCAACUUCGCUCCCGUGCCGGAGCAACCCGUUGUACAUAAUUUGCCUGUUGCCGGUAAAAUCCCAGACAGCAUUCGAGGUGUUUAUCUUCGAAACGGCGCAAACCCGCUUCACGAAUCCAGGAGCCGGUGGCUGGACACCACUUUUUUGACGGUGAUGGGAUGGUUCAUGCUGUCCGGUUUGAUGCUGUCCGCUUUGAGAACGGGUCUGUCAGCUAUGCUUGUCGGUUCACGGAGACAAACAGGCUUGUUCAAGAGAGAAAAUUGGGACGCCCCGUUUUCCCAAAGGCCAUCGGCGAACUCCAUGGCCACUCCGGGAUAGCUAGGCUGUUGCUUUUUUGUGCUCGUGGCCUUUUUGGGAUCGUUGAUCCUAGCCAUGGGACGGGUGUUGCUAACGCUGGGUUGGUAUACUUUAAUGGUCGUCUUCUUGCCAUGUCUGAAGAUGA
RNAcentral lists this unclassified non-coding RNA (672 nucleotides) under Hevea brasiliensis (rubber tree). Lineage: Eukaryota; Viridiplantae; Streptophyta; Magnoliopsida; Malpighiales; Euphorbiaceae. The record is from RNAcentral.